Molecule: ribosomal RNA, 460 nt
Filed under: uncultured bacterium
Lineage: Bacteria
Description: partial 16S ribosomal RNA
Rfam family: Bacterial small subunit ribosomal RNA
Source: RNAcentral
CCUACGGGUGGCAGCAGUGAGGAAUAUUGGUCAAUGGACGAGAGUCUGAACCAGCCAAGUAGCGUGAAGGAUGACUGCCCUAUGGGUUGUAAACUUCUUUUAUAUGGGAAUAAAACGUUCCACGUGUGGGAUUUUGUAUGUACCAUAUGAAUAAGGAACGGCUAACUCCGUGCCAGCAGCCGCGGUAAUACGGAGGAUCCGAGCGUUAUCCGGAUUUAUUGGGUUUAAAGGGAGCGUAGGUGGAUUGUUAAGUCAGUUGUGAAAGUUUGCGGCUCAACCGUAAAAUUGCAGUUGAAACUGGCAGUCUUGAGUACAGUAGAGGUGGGCGGAAUUCGUGGUGUAGCGGUGAAAUGCUUAGAUAUCACGAAGAACUCCGAUUGCGAAGGCAGUUCACUAGACUGCAACUGACACUGAGGCUCGAAAGUGUGGGUAUCAAACAGGAUUAGAUACCCCUGUAGUC